RNAcentral lists this ribosomal RNA (465 nucleotides) under uncultured Arsenophonus sp. RNAcentral describes it as "bacterial SSU rRNA". It matches the Rfam family "Bacterial small subunit ribosomal RNA", at positions 338 to 795 of the family's 1533-position model. The record is from RNAcentral. Lineage: Bacteria; Pseudomonadati; Pseudomonadota; Gammaproteobacteria; Enterobacterales; Morganellaceae.
CCUACGGGCGGCUGCAGUGGGGAAUAUUGCACAAUGGGCGCAAGCCUGAUGCAGCCAUGCCGCGUGUAUGAAGAAGGCCUUCGGGUUGUAAAGUACUUUCAGUCGUGAGGAAGGUGUUAAGGUUAAUAACCUUAGCAAUUGACGUUAGCGACAGAAGAAGCACCGGCUAACUCCGUGCCAGCAGCCGCGGUAAUACGGAGGGUGCGAGCGUUAAUCGGAAUUACUGGGCGUAAAGGGCACGCAGGCGGGUAAAUAAGGUGGAAUUGGAAUUCCCGGGCGUAACCUGGGGAAGGGAUUUAAGGCUUGUUAGCUAGAGUCUUGGAGAGGGGGGUUGAAGUCCAUGUGUAGCGGAUGAAUGCGUAGGGGUGGUGAAGGAAACCGGGGGCGAAAGGGGGCCGCUGGAAAAAGAGUGGAGCGCAUGUGGGAAAGCGUGGGGAGCAAACAGGAUUAGAUACCCUAGUAGUC